This is a long non-coding RNA of Armigeres subalbatus, 1328 nucleotides long. RefSeq lists it as uncharacterized. The transcript is spliced from 3 exons. The record is from RefSeq and is a predicted model, not a curated record. Lineage: Eukaryota; Metazoa; Arthropoda; Insecta; Diptera; Culicidae.
AAAAAAAAAGUUGGGAUUUUUACAGUUUUCUAAUCUUAUUUUGAAAGUAGGCAAAAUUUGGUAUUCUUGAGUGCCAACAUAUUUAAAUCAAAUGCAAAAUGUUUAAUCGGAAAGUUUUUACAUCAGUGUAAUAUUGUGCUUUUGACAGUGAGAACACUCAGAACAAAAUUUAAAAAGAAAUCAAACUUUACCUCGAUAUUUCACAUUUCUGGCAACAAAGUCAACCAAAAAAUAAUGUAACUGGCAGCCUGUAACGAUCUGUCAUGUUUUGAAUUAAAAAAAGGAACAACGUUUUGUUGGUUUUGUUAAACAAAAAUUGCCGAGUCUUUUCAAUUAUUACUUUGAAACAGUCACAAACUAAAUCCAGAUGGAAGGAAGAGCCUCGAGGAGAGCACCCUCCGACACAAAAUUCAAACUGAACUCCAUGGCCUCUUGCGCUCAAGAGACUUCCAACGAAGGAAUACAGCAACUGGCUGACCGUCCCCAGCAUACCAAACCAGGAAAAACCUCGGGAAAAACUAAGGAAUCAAAGAGCAAAUGGCACAUGGCAGAAUCGAAAAGAUGAUAAGGAUCGUGUAUCGUCCGAAAAAGUAGAUAACCCAUCAGAUUAUGUGUGCUGCCCAGUUUCAUGCAGGAAUGAGUUAUGGGGCAUCUUGUCCGGAACAACCGCAAAGAUUAUGGUCAUGCGGAAGUAUGAUUGUAAGCGGAAGUGGGAGACUACAAACGGGCAAUGCUAGAUCGGAUCAGACUGUUGGUGCGACGAAAAUGACCGAGAGGAAACAGAUUGCUGGUACGUACGGAUUACAUGUAUCGGAGUACAGGAUCAAUGCGCAGCGAUUUGUGGCAAUGAUCUCCAGGAAGAGAGAGAAAAGAUGGCAUUCUACACACCUAAAAUGGGCUGAAACCAGACCAGUUUGCUGUCGUGCUGCCGCAAAUAAACGCUGUCCCCUGCUAGGAUUCGAGACGUUGAACCGAGUCAUCUCUAUAAAGGUCUUCUGGAAAGGAACUGAAUUUGCUACUGUGAACAAAUCCUACCGCAGGGACAAGGAAGCGUUGCACCUCGAUCCAGAUGUUUAUUCCGAGCAGUUUAUGCAAUGAAACCGAUGACGACGGCAACGACGACGCCACGAUGUGGGAGUACAGCUAUGAUUCGCCUAAAUAUCAAGAAACCGCAUUACGGAUUCUACACAUGUUACGAAAGAAUUACAUGCCACCGCGUUCUAUUCAUAUGUACGUACGUUGUCGAAAGUGCACACAGACGUGGUGUCCGAGCAGGGAACAAACACACGUAAAAAACUAGCGAAUAGAAUAAAAAUAAAAACGAUUUU